CUGAAACAACUUCAGCACGAUAACUAUCCAACAAAACAGAUGCAACACUGUUCUUGACUCUCCCAUCCCUCAUUAAUUUUUAAAACAUUAGACUGAGUACAACACCGUGUUCCUGUUACACACUCAUACCUUUCAAGCUGUGCAAGAGAAACAACAGUUGUGGUCUAACCUUUUACCAGCCUGUGUAAGCUAGCUUGUAUGGACUAAGUUUUACCACUGUAGAAAUUGCUUUUCUUUGAGACACAAAACUAAAUUACUGAAGCAAAGAAGCAUUCCUUGCUUAAUCACUGGCACGAAAUCCACCCUAGUGCAUUUUGAUGAAUGGUAACAGAGAAACAUGACCUAAACAGCAUAAGGCUAAUUUAAAAAACACUUUUUCCAAAAUGAAAUUUUACUUUUUCACCUUAGAUUCCCAGAGCUCACAGUACUGCUGAUCAUCAUCCCACAGUUUGACGAGAGGUCAACCAUGUCAUUUGUUAGAGUUGCAAGCUGAAGUGUGUGUCCUGUUUCUCCAACAACUCUCUUAAUCCUUCACCAGAACAUCACCACUUAAACUUAAUUUACAAAUCUACAGUCAAGAGGGAGAAGAACAUCAAAAGGAUCCUGUGACUAACCUUGAUUUCUUAAACAGCUCUGAGGUACUCUUGAUAGGCAUGUAAUUGUGUUUGCCUUCUGAUGCAUGACAGACAUCAAAAAUUGUGAUAUGAGUGUGACACUGGUCUCAGCAGUACUGAGAAUAACUGUUUACGAUCCUAAAUAGCUUGAUUUACAGAAGGGUAGUUUCUGAGGCUGUAAAGCCCAAAGGAGUAUUAAUGUUGACACUUGAUGCAAUUUUAAGAAUUCAAAUGCCUUCUUUGCACCUGAACUGAAGCCACCCUUCCUUNNNNNGUCUGACAGAAACAGAUAUUUCCUCACAUUUAGCACUGUUUCUGUGCCUUGUAGCAGUUAAUCACGACCAACUUCCACAGCAAUGGAUGCAAGGCAGCCUAAUUCAAUUGGAACGACAGGCCUGAUCAACAAAACAUUUGCACAAUGUUUUGGAGAAGUUUUAACAACAAAGCAGGAGAGUAUAUGCCAGGACUGAAGCCAUGAUCCAUUUCUCCAAGCAUCUAUCACCUACACUCUCCACAGCAUGGAUUCCAGAUUCCACAGACUCUUGCUGCUGUACAGUUAACUGCCAGCUGUAAAUAAAUGACCUCUAAGCACAAA
Molecule: long non-coding RNA, 1209 nt
Filed under: Anser brachyrhynchus (Pink-footed goose)
Lineage: Eukaryota; Metazoa; Chordata; Aves; Anseriformes; Anatidae
Description: lncRNA (ENSABRG00000022229.1)
Source: RNAcentral